RNAcentral lists this ribosomal RNA (513 nucleotides) under uncultured bacterium. RNAcentral's name for it is "partial 16S ribosomal RNA". It matches the Rfam family "Bacterial small subunit ribosomal RNA", at positions 28 to 523 of the family's 1533-position model. The record is from RNAcentral.
GAUGAACGCUGGCGGCGUGCCUAAUACAUGCAAGUCGAGCGGACCAAAGAGAGCUUGCUCUCUGAGGUUAGCGGCGGACGGGUGAGUAACACGUGGGUAACCUGCCUGUAAGACGGGGAUAACUUCGGGAAACCGAAGCUAAUACCGGAUGAUAAAGAGAAACGCCGGUUUCUUUUUUGAAAGUCGGCCUUGUGCUGACGCUUACAGAUGGGCCCGCGGGGCAUUAGCUAGUUGGUGAGGUAACGGCUCACCAAGGCGACGAUGCGUAGCCGACCUGAGAGGGUGAUCGGCCACACUGGGACUGAGACACGGCCCAGACUCCUACGGGAGGCAGCAGUAGGGAAUCCUCGGCAAUGGACGAAAGUCUGACCGAGCAACGCCGCGUGAGCGAUGAAGGCCUUCGGGUCGUAAAGCUCUGUUGUCAGAGAAGAACAAGUACCGGAGUAACUGCCGGUACCUUGACGGUACCUGACCAGAAAGCCACGGCUAACUACGUGCCAGCCGCCGCCGUAA